GUAGGUGAACUUGCGGAAGGAUCAUUGUCGAAACCUGCCCAGCAGAGCGACCCGUGAACACGUUCAACCUCGUGGGUGCUGGGGCGUUGCACGGUGCCUUGUGUGCCUGCUCGCCCCUCUCCUAGGCCGGGGAGCGCUCACUUGUGGGCUGUUUCCCGGCUAACCAACGAACCCCUGCGCAUAAAUGCGUCAAGGAAUAUAAACUUUAUGUGUGUGCUCUCAUAUCGCCCGGUUAGCCAGGCGUUGGAGU
This 250-nucleotide unclassified non-coding RNA is filed under the name plant metagenome. RNAcentral describes it as "partial contains small subunit ribosomal RNA, internal transcribed spacer 1, and 5.8S ribosomal RNA". The record is from RNAcentral.